This 409-nucleotide ribosomal RNA is filed under the name uncultured eukaryote. RNAcentral describes it as "SSU rRNA". It matches the Rfam family "Eukaryotic small subunit ribosomal RNA", at positions 592 to 997 of the family's 1831-position model. The record is from RNAcentral.
CAAUAGCGUAUAUUAAAGUUGUUGCGGUUAAAAGCUCGUAGUUGGAUUUCUGUCUGAGGCGGCCGGUCCACUUUCUGAGUGAGCAUCUGGUCCGCUUUGGGCAUCCUCCUGGGGAACGUUUCCGCGCUUGAUUGUGUGGUACGGAAUCUAGGACUUUUACUUUGAGGAAAUUAGAGUGUUCACUGCAGGCAUACGCCUUGAAUACGUUAGCAUGGAAUAAUAAGAUAGGACCUCGGUUCUAUUUUUUCGGUUUCUAGAGCUGAGGUAAUGAUUAACAGGGAUAGUUGGGGGCAUUCGUAUUUAACUGUCAGAGGUGAAAUUCUUGGAUUUGUUAAAGACGAACUACUGACGAAGCUAUUUGCCGAAGGAUUGUUUUCUAUUGAUACAAAGAAACGUAAAGGUUAGGGGA